RNAcentral lists this ribosomal RNA (441 nucleotides) under uncultured bacterium. Its description in RNAcentral is "partial 16S ribosomal RNA". It matches the Rfam family "Bacterial small subunit ribosomal RNA", at positions 338 to 795 of the family's 1533-position model. The record is from RNAcentral.
CCUACGGGAGGCAGCAGUUUUUAAUAUUUCCCCCUUUUGUCCCCCCUGCUGCCGCGACGCCGCGUGAGCGAGGAAGUAUUUCGGUAUGUAAAGCUCUAUCAGCAGGGACGAAAAAAGACGGUACCUGACUAAGAAGCCCCGGCUAACUACGUGCCAGCAGCCGCGGUAAUACGUAGGGGGCAAGCGUUAUCCGGAUUUACUGGGUGUAAAGGGAGCGUAGACGGCAAGGCAAGCCAGAAGUGAAAGGGCAGGGCUCAACCCUGUACAUGCUUUUGGAACUGUGGUGCUAGAGUGCAGGAGAGGUAAGUGGAAGUCCUAGUGUAGCGGUGAAAUGCGUAGAUAUUAGGAGGAACACCAGUGGUGAAGGCGGCUUACUGGACUGUAACUGACGUUGAGGCUCGAAAGCGUGGGGAGCAAACAGGAUUAGAUACCCGAGUAGUC